RNAcentral lists this ribosomal RNA (673 nucleotides) under Chryseobacterium sp. THB1.1. Its description in RNAcentral is "partial 16S ribosomal RNA". It matches the Rfam family "Bacterial small subunit ribosomal RNA", at positions 150 to 822 of the family's 1533-position model. The record is from RNAcentral. Lineage: Bacteria; Pseudomonadati; Bacteroidota; Flavobacteriia; Flavobacteriales; Weeksellaceae.
UUCGAAAGGAAGAUUAAUACCCCAUAACAUAUUGAGUGGCAUCACUUAAUAUUGAAAACUCCGGYGGAUAGAGAUGGGCACGCGCAAGAUUAGAUAGUUGGUGAGGUAACGGCUCACCAAGUCAAUGAUCUUUAGGGGGCCYGAGAGGGUGAUCCCCCACACYGGUAYUGAGACACGGACCAGASUCCUACGGGAGGCAGCAGUGAGGAAUAUUGGACAAUGGGUGAGAGCCUGAUCCAGCCAUCCCGCGUGAAGGACGACGGCCCUAUGGGUUGUAAACUUCUUUUGUAUAGGGAUAAACCUUUCCACGUGUGGAAAGCUGAAGGUACUAUAMGAAUAAGCACCGGCUAACUCCGUKCCAGCAGCCGCGGUAAUACGGAGGGUGCAAGCGUUAUCCGGAUUUAUUGGGUUUAAAGGGUCCGUAGGCGGGCUCGUAAGUCAGUGGUGAAAUCUCAUAGCUUAACUAUGAAACUGCCAUUGAUAYUGCGAKCCUUGAGUAAGGUAGAGGUAGCUGGAAUAAGUAGUGUAGCGGUGAAAUGCAUAGAUAUUACUUAGAACACCAAUUGCGAAGGCAGGUUACCAUGUYUUAACUGACGCUGAUGGAMGAAAGCGUGGGGAGCGAACAGGAUUAGAUACCSUGGUAGUCCACRCCGUAAMCGAUGSUAACUCGUUU